RNAcentral lists this non-coding RNA (46 nucleotides) under Schistosoma mansoni. Lineage: Eukaryota; Metazoa; Platyhelminthes; Trematoda; Strigeidida; Schistosomatidae. The record is from RNAcentral.
AUCCAGCUGAUGAGCCCAAAAAUGGGACGAAACGCGCGUCCUGGAU